AGUGAACGCUGGCGGCGUGCCUAAUACAUGCAAGUCGAACGAGUGGCGGACGGGUGAGUAAUGUCUGUGAAACUCCCUGAUUUAGGGGGAUAACUACUGGAAACGGUAGCUAAUACCGCAUACCAUCGGAUGUGCCCAGAUGGGAUUAGCUAGUAGGUGGGGUAAAGGCUAACCUAGGCGACGAUCCCUAGCUGGUCUGAGAGGAUGACCAGCCACACUGGAACUGAGACACGGUCAAGACUCCUACGGGAGGCAGCAGUGGGGAAUAUUGCAAAAUGGGAGCAAGCCUGAUGCAGCCAUGCCGCGUGUAUGAAGAAGGCCAUCGGGUUGUAAAGUACUUUCAGCGGGGAGGCGUUACCCGCAGAAGAAGCAUCGGCUAACUCCGUGCCAGCAGCCGCGGGAAUAC
This 406-nucleotide ribosomal RNA is filed under the name uncultured bacterium. RNAcentral describes it as "partial 16S ribosomal RNA". It matches the Rfam family "Bacterial small subunit ribosomal RNA", at positions 29 to 526 of the family's 1533-position model. The record is from RNAcentral.